This 253-nucleotide ribosomal RNA is filed under the name uncultured bacterium. RNAcentral's name for it is "partial 16S ribosomal RNA". It matches the Rfam family "Bacterial small subunit ribosomal RNA", at positions 524 to 776 of the family's 1533-position model. The record is from RNAcentral.
UACGGGGGGGGCAAGCGUUGUUCGGAAUUACUGGGCGUAAAGGGCUCGUAGGCGGCCAACUAAGUCAGACGUGAAAUCCCUCGGCUUAACCGGGGAACGGCCUCUGAUACUGGCUGGCUGGAGUUCGGGAGAGGGAUGCGGAAUUCCUGGUGUAGCGGUGAAAUGCGCAGAUAUCAGGAGGAACACCGGUGGCGAAGGCGGGUCUCUGGGCCGAUACUGACGCUGAGGAGCGAAAGCGUGGGGAGCGAACAGG